GGCAGUUCUCGGGUGAUGCACCCUGGAAUCGGGCUCCCUCCUCUCAGGUUCUGGGUGUAUCACCCGAGUACUGUA
Molecule: non-coding RNA, 75 nt
Organism: Myotis davidii
Lineage: Eukaryota; Metazoa; Chordata; Mammalia; Chiroptera; Vespertilionidae
Source: Rfam